Molecule: long non-coding RNA, 2189 nt
Organism: Piliocolobus tephrosceles (Ugandan red Colobus)
Lineage: Eukaryota; Metazoa; Chordata; Mammalia; Primates; Cercopithecidae
Source: Ensembl
AUUUCCCUUCCCCUCCAAGAGCCCUUUCUGACCCCUGACUCCUUUCUUUAGCAGCCCUCAAAUGGUUUUCGUGGGUGGAACAUCUCCCUGCGUUUCAGAGGACAUCAGCGCACGUGGUUUCUUUCCUGGCCGCCGCGGCCCACUUGGUCAGUUUCCUCCUAGUUUUGGCCUGGGGCCCUCCCGCCGGGGCUCUGCCGGGUCUGCGGGUCGGGGCGGUCUUUUCACCCCGGAGGAGAGAAAGCAGAGAUUGGAAGCUCGCGCGCUCGGGCGGGGCCUGUCCACCGAGCCCGGCGAGGCUCGGAGGGCCUCGGAGGUGGACGCGCCCCGGCUAUUCCUCCGCGGCUGGGGCUGCUCCGGACGUCCCGCGUCUGGGGCCCGGGAUUCAGCCUGCAAGGUUUGAAAACAUUUAGGAUCAUAUGAAAUUUUGGAUUACUUUGCUCUCCAGUAUCUGUCCUGAAGAGAUAAAUGUGACAGACGGCUGUUUAUUCUAUGAAAUGAAAAUGACAUCCCCGGCUGGGCGUGGUGACUCAAGUCUGUAAUCCCAGCACUUUGGGAGGCUGAGACGGGCGGAUCACGAGGUCAGGAGAUCAAGACCAUCCUGGCUAACACGGUGAAACCCCGUCUCUACUAAAAAAUACAAAAAACUAGCCGGGUGAGGUGGCGGGCGCCUGUAAUCCCAGCUACUCAGGAGGCUGAGGGAGGAGAAUAGUGUAAACUCGGGAGGCGGAGCUUGCAGUGAGCUGAGAUCCGGCCACUGCACUCCAGCCUGGGCAACAGAGUGAGACUCCAUCUCAAAAAAAAAAAAAAAAAAAGAAAAAAAAAAAAAAAAAUGACAUCCCCUGCCCAGGAGCAGUGGUGUAAUGAUUUAUAAGAUAGCGUAUUUAAAAUCAUUCAAGAUUUGGUGAUAAGCUAUUAGAUACAACACCAAAGGUACAAGGCGUGAGAGAAAAAACUGGUAACUUGGAUUUCAUUAACAUAAAAAAAUUCUGCUUUGUGAAAGACACUAUGGAGAUAGUCAAAAGACAACCCAUAGAAUGGGAGAAAAUAUUUGCAAAACACAUGUCUGAGAAAGGACUUAUAUCCAAUAUAUACAAAAGACACAUCAACACAGCAAUAAGAAAACCAACAAUCCAGUUAAAAAGUGAGCAAAAGGUACAAUCAGACACCUCACCAAAUAAGAUAUACAGAAGGGAAAUGAUCAUGUGAAAAGUUGACCAACAUAAUUUGUCAUUAGGGAAUUGCAAGUUUAAACAACCACAAGAUAUCACUACACACCUUUUAGAAUGGCCAAAAUCCAACACUGACAAUACUGAAUGCUGAUGAGGAUGUGGAGUAAUAGGAAAUUUCAUUCAUUGCUUGUGGGAAUGCAAAAUCGUAUAGCCACUUGAGAAAACAGUGUGGCAGUUUCUUACAAAACUAAAUCUAAUCUUACUCUAUGAUCUAGCAAUAUACUCCUAGGUAUUUAUCCAACUGAUUUGAAAAUGAAUGUUCAAGCAAAAACUUGCACACUAUUGUUUAUAGCAGUUUAUUUUAAUAAUUGCCAAAAACUGAAACAAAAAACAAAAACCAAAAUGUUCUUCAAUAAGUGAAUUGGUGGACAAACAGUGGUACAUAUACACAAUGGAAUACUAUUUCAUGAUUCAAAAAAUAAGGUGCUAUCAAGCUGUGAGAGGCUAUGAAUGAAUCUUAAAUGUGUAUUGCUAAAUGAAGAAAGAGUCUGAAAAGGCUGCAUAGUGUACAAUUCCAAGUCUGUGCCAUUCUAGAAAAGGCAAAACUGUAAUGGGAGUAAAAAGAUAAGCAGUUGUCAGGGGAUUAGGGGGAGUGUUGAACAGAUGAGGUACAGGGAAUUUUUUAGAGUGGUGAAACCAUUAUGCAUGAUACUGCAAUUGUGGAUACAUGACAACAGGCAUUUAUGAAAACUUACAGAACUUCACAGCACACAGUGAACUUUUUGUAUUUAAAUGAAUUUAAAAAACUAUUUAGGAUGUCAAGAGAACCCAGGACCAGAUACAUAAGGUGACAAAGCAAUCUAAUUGUAUCACAAAUGUAUAAAACAACCAGAUGCAUAAGGUGACAAAGCAAUCUAAUUGUAUCACAAAUGUAUAAAACAACCACAGUGAUGGGGUGGAUGAAAUUGUUGUGGACCUAAGUAAUUUUGGAAAUAAAUGGAGUCUAUAAGAUUAAAGGCA